This 253-nucleotide ribosomal RNA is filed under the name uncultured bacterium. RNAcentral describes it as "partial 16S ribosomal RNA". It matches the Rfam family "Bacterial small subunit ribosomal RNA", at positions 524 to 776 of the family's 1533-position model. The record is from RNAcentral.
GACAGAGGAGGGGAGCGUUAUCCGGAGUCAUUGGGCGUAAAGGGUAUGUAGGCGGCUAGUCAAGUCUGAGGUUAAAGACCACAGCUUAACUGUGGGAAGGCCUUGGAAACUGACUGGCUAGAGUGGGGCAGGGGUUGCGGGAAUUCCCGGUGUAGCGGUGAAAUGCGUAGAUAUCGGGAAGAACACCUGAGGCGAAAGCGCGCAACUGGGCCCUCACUGACGCUGAGGUACGAAAGCUAGGGGAGCGAAUGGG